GACGAACGCUGGCGGCGUGCUUAACACAUGCAAGUCGAACGGAAAGGCCCUGCUCUUGUGGGGUGCUCGAGUGGCGAACGGGUGAGUAACACGUGAGUAACCUGCCCUUGACUUUGGGAUAACUUCAGGAAACUGGGGCUAAUACCGGAUAGGAGCUCCUGCUGCAUGGUGGGGGUUGGAAAGUUUCGGCGGUUGGGGAUGGACUCGCGGCUUAUCAGCUUGUUGGUGGGGUAGUGGCUUACCAAGGCUUUGACGGGUAGCCGGCCUGAGAGGGUGAACGGCCACAUUGGGACUGAGAGACGGCGCAGACUCCUACGGGAGGCAGCAGUGGGGAAUAUUGCACAAUAGGCGGAAGCCUGAUGCGGCAGCGCCGCGUGCGGGAUGACGGCCUUCGGGUUGUAAACCGCUUUCGCCUGUGACGAAGCGUGAGUGACGGUAAUGGGUAAAGAAGCACCGGCUAACUACGUG
RNAcentral lists this ribosomal RNA (468 nucleotides) under uncultured bacterium. RNAcentral describes it as "partial 16S ribosomal RNA". It matches the Rfam family "Bacterial small subunit ribosomal RNA", at positions 28 to 507 of the family's 1533-position model. The record is from RNAcentral.